CACACACAAAAUAAAAUAAAUAAAAUACAUUUAAAAGUAUUUACAUAUGAACGGGAAACGGCUCCGCUAAUAACGGAAACUUUAACGACUUAAGUAAAAGUUAACGGUAACUGAUUAUAAGUUAGUUUUCUUACCGCGGAUGAAAGUGCUCCUCCUCUCCGGUUCCUCCCCGGUUCCUCUCCGGUUUCUUCACGUUUUCCCCAUGAAUGUGUCUCUUCAGCUGCGGACAGUCCGCCGUUAAACCACCGACAGUCCGCUGUUAAACCACCGAGACACACCGAGAGUAACGGAGCACCGACUCCCGUAGCCUGAGAGCACCGGAGACACACUUCCGGUCAAGCUUUUCAAAAAUAAAAUGCUACCCGCCAGACCUGUGCUUGUUAUAACCUUCGCAGCACCUGAACGCACCAGGAGUUGAGCCCGCCCCCAGAGAGCUGUGAUUGGCGGAGAGACGUCACAUCGUCAGAAACCAAGACGCCGGCAGAGAAGAAGCAGGAAAAGAAAAUCAUAACAAUAUUAAUUAUCAGAAUAUUACCUGAGAUCCAAUAACCUUUCUACCUGCAGCAGAUAUGGGGGCCUGGUUCUCCUCCUCCUCCCCCCCCCUGGACAGUAGUGUACACGUGGUGGUGGUUGGUGGUGGGUUCGGGGGCAUCACGGCGUCUCGCCUCCUUCAGGACGCCGGGAUCAGCUUCACGCUCCUGGACCUCAGAGACGCCUUCCAUCACAACGUGGGGGCGCUGAGGGCCUCCGUGCAGCCGGGUAACAGCACCUCCUCCUGCACCUCCUCCUGCACCUCCUCCGUCUUCUACAUUUUAUAUUCACUCUUAAUCUCCCUUUUUAUUUCCUUUGACAAAUGAUAGCUCCUCCUCCUGUAGUAAUGAUAGCACCUCCUCCUGUAGUAAUGAUAACACCUCCUCCUGUAGUAAUGAUAGC
Notothenia coriiceps (black rockcod) is the source of this 933-nucleotide long non-coding RNA. RefSeq lists it as uncharacterized. The transcript has 3 exons. NCBI's taxonomy places the organism in Eukaryota, Metazoa, Chordata, Actinopteri, Perciformes, Nototheniidae. The record is from RefSeq and is a predicted model, not a curated record.